Molecule: non-coding RNA, 568 nt
Organism: Paramuricea clavata
Lineage: Eukaryota; Metazoa; Cnidaria; Anthozoa; Malacalcyonacea; Plexauridae
Source: the annotation of a GenBank genome assembly
GCUUGUUCCCAAUUGUUGACAAGUCUGGAACAAGUUGUUUAAUUUAAUAUCUUGGUUGAUGAAGCCAUGUUGUUCCAGCAAGUCUGAUGACGUAAGAAGUUGAUGACAACAAACUCGUAGCAACUUGUUGUGAACAGCCUAUAUUAUAGUCUUGUAAUUAAACAAAAUGCUCCUUGUAUUACGACUUUAGUAGCGUCUUUUUAGGUCUAUUAAUGUUUAUUUUUUUUGUUUCUAUUUUUCAACUGUGUCGUUCAAUGCCAAAUAGACAAGAUUUUGCCGUUGUCUGUUCCAGUUAUAGAUACACAGUUUGACGCAUAGAUAUCUUAUAUACACUAGAUAGUGCAUCUAAUUAUUCUGCAAUUCAAAAAUUGAAGCCGUGAUUGCGGAUAUUCCCAUGAAAUGAGAAGACUCGUAUGUUUUCUACUUCUUAAACAGGGAACUUAAACAUUAAGUUAAACCUAUUCCAAAUACAUUUUCAAACUAUUCAAAUGAUGAAAGUCAGUUAUUGUUGUUAAGCGUUUAUUAGCGAGUGGGAAACGCCAACAUGGCCGCCAUCUAUUCAAAUGGG